CCUACGGGAGGCUGCAGUGAGGAAUAUUGGUCAAUGGGCGAGAGCCUGAACCAACCAAGUCGCGUGAGGGAAGACGGUCCUACGGAUUGUAAACCUCUUUUGUCAGGGAGCAAGGAGCGCCACGAGUGGUGCGGCGAGAGUACCUGAAGAAAAAGCAUCGGCUAACUCCGUGCCAGCAGCCGCGGUAAUACGGAGGAUGCGAGCGUUAUCCGGAUUUAUUGGGUUUAAAGGGUGCGCUGGCGGAAGCGGCAAGUCAGCGGUAAAAUUGCGGGGCCCAACCUCGCCGAGCCGUUGAAACUGCUCAUCUGGAGUGGGCGAGAAGUAUGCGGAAGGCGUGGUGGAGCGGUGAAAGGCAUAGAGAUCACGCAGAACUCAGAGUGCGAAGGCAGCAUACCGGCGCCCAACUGACGCGCAUGCACGAAAGCGUGGGUAGCGAACAGGAUGAGAUACACGGGUAGUC
RNAcentral lists this ribosomal RNA (460 nucleotides) under uncultured bacterium. RNAcentral's name for it is "partial 16S ribosomal RNA". It matches the Rfam family "Bacterial small subunit ribosomal RNA", at positions 338 to 795 of the family's 1533-position model. The record is from RNAcentral.